RNAcentral lists this ribosomal RNA (482 nucleotides) under uncultured bacterium. RNAcentral describes it as "partial 16S ribosomal RNA". It matches the Rfam family "Bacterial small subunit ribosomal RNA", at positions 30 to 507 of the family's 1533-position model. The record is from RNAcentral.
AUUGAACGCUGGCGGCAUGCCUUACACAUGCAAGUCGAACGGUAACGGGCCUUCGGGUGCCGACGAGUGGCGAACGGGUGAGUAAUACAUCGGAACGUGCCCGAUCGUGGGGGAUAACGAGGCGAAGGCUUUGCUAAUACCGCAUACGAUCUACGGAUGAAAGCAGGGGACCGCAAGGCCUUGCGCGGACGGAGCGGCCGAUGGCGGAUUAGGUAGUUGGUGGGAUAAAAGCUUACCAAGCCGACGAUCUGUAGCUGGUCUGAGAGGAUGAUCAGCCACACUGGGACUGAGACACGGCCCAGACUCCUACGGGAGGCAGCAGUGGGGAAUUUUGGACAAUGGGCGCAAGCCUGAUCCAGCCAUGCCGCGUGCAGGAUGAAGGCCUUCGGGUUGUAAACUGCUUUUGUACGGAACGAAAAGCCUUCUUUUAAUACAGGAGGGUCAUGACGGUACCGUAAGAAUAAGCACCGGCUAACUACGUG